GCCUGUGUGACACAGUUGAUUGAGCGUUCGCCUGCUGCCCAAAAGGUUGCUGGUUCACCUCCAGCCAGGGGCA
RNAcentral lists this transfer RNA (73 nucleotides) under Sphaerodactylus townsendi. RNAcentral describes it as "tRNA-Ser". The record is from RNAcentral. Lineage: Eukaryota; Metazoa; Chordata; Lepidosauria; Squamata; Sphaerodactylidae.